This 1486-nucleotide ribosomal RNA is filed under the name metagenome. RNAcentral describes it as "bacterial SSU rRNA". It matches the Rfam family "Bacterial small subunit ribosomal RNA". The record is from RNAcentral.
AGAGUUUGAUCCUGGCUCAGAUUGAACGCUGGCGGCAUGCCUUACACAUGCAAGUCGAACGGUAACGCGGGGCAACCUGGCGACGAGUGGCGAACGGGUGAGUAAUACAUCGGAACGUGCCCAGUAGUGGGGGAUAGCCCGGCGAAAGCCGGAUUAAUACCGCAUACGACCUACGGGUGAAAGCAGGGGAUCGCAAGACCUUGCGCUAUUGGAGCGGCCGAUGUCAGAUUAGGUUGUUGGUGGGGUAAAAGCCCACCAAGCCGACGAUCUGUAGCUGGUCUGAGAGGACGACCAGCCACACUGGGACUGAGACACGGCCCAGACUCCUACGGGAGGCAGCAGUGGGGAAUUUUGGACAAUGGGCGCAAGCCUGAUCCAGCCAUGCCGCGUGCGGGAAGAAGGCCUUCGGGUUGUAAACCGCUUUUGUCAGGGAAGAAACGCUCUGGGCUAAUACCCCGGGGUAAUGACGGUACCUGAAGAAUAAGCACCGGCUAACUACGUGCCAGCAGCCGCGGUAAUACGUAGGGUGCAAGCGUUAAUCGGAAUUACUGGGCGUAAAGCGUGCGCAGGCGGUCUUGCAAGACAGAUGUGAAAUCCCCGGGCUUAACCUGGGAACUGCAUUUGUGACUGCAAGGCUGGAGUACGGCAGAGGGGGAUGGAAUUCCGCGUGUAGCAGUGAAAUGCGUAGAUAUGCGGAGGAACACCGAUGGCGAAGGCAAUCCCCUGGGCCUGUACUGACGCUCAUGCACGAAAGCGUGUGAGCAAACAGGAUUAGAUACCCUGGUAGUCCACGCCCUAAACGAUGUCAACUGGUUGUUGGGAAGGUUCCUUCUCAGUAACGUAGCUAACGCGUGAAGUUGACCGCCUGGGGAGUACGGCCGCAAGGUUGAAACUCAAAGGAAUUGACGGGGACCCGCACAAGCGGUGGAUGAUGUGGUUUAAUUCGACGCAACGCGAAAAACCUUACCUACCCUUGACAUGUCUGGAAUUUCGCAGAGAUGUGAAAGUGCUCGAAAGAGAACCAGAACACAGGUGCUGCAUGGCCGUCGUCAGCUCGUGUCGUGAGAUGUUGGGUUAAGUCCCGCAACGAGCGCAACCCUUGUCAUUAGUUGCUACGAAAGGGCACUCUAAUGAGACUGCCGGUGACAAACCGGAGGAAGGUGGGGAUGACGUCAGGUCAUCAUGGCCCUUAUGGGUAGGGCUACACACGUCAUACAAUGGCCGGUACAGAGGGCUGCCAACCCGCGAGGGGGAGCUAAUCCCAGAAAACCGGUCGUAGUCCGGAUCGCAGUCUGCAACUCGACUGCGUGAAGUCGGAAUCGCUAGUAAUCGCGGAUCAGCUUGCCGCGGUGAAUACGUUCCCGGGUCUUGUACACACCGCCCGUCACACCAUGGGAGCGGGUUCUGCCAGAAGUAGUUAGCCUAACCGCAAGGAGGGCGAUUACCACGGCAGGGUUCGUGACUGGGGUGAAGUCGGAACAAGGUA